Oncorhynchus gorbuscha (pink salmon) is the source of this 2729-nucleotide long non-coding RNA. RefSeq lists it as uncharacterized. Lineage: Eukaryota; Metazoa; Chordata; Actinopteri; Salmoniformes; Salmonidae. The transcript has 2 exons. The record is from RefSeq and is a predicted model, not a curated record.
CACAAUCCAGGUGUGGAAAGCUCUUAGAGACUUACCCAGAAAGACUCAAAGCUGUAAUCGCUGCCAAAGGUGAUUCUAAAGCCCAAAUCAAACAAAAAGCAUUUAGUUUGUUUACGGCGUAAAUGAGCGCGUACACGCUGGAAUUAGAAUGCACGGUAGUAAAUGGGAGAAAACAGACGUGGCGCGAGCUUCAAUGCCGUCAACGGUAUCAUGCGCUUCAAAUUAGAAAGCAAGUCAAUUUUUCUUAGGUGUACGCGAAGCAAUGCUGGUAAAGUGAAUUGUUAUGUCUGGACUUUUAAAAAGUGUCUAUUUUGUGUUUAUAAGUUUAGCUGCCAGUGCCAAUAAUACAUAUUUAAAAACAAUAAUGUUUUGCCUACCUUUGUUGAUUUUGAGCACAGGCAUAUGGCCUAUGCAGGCCACGGCUGGGAACUCACAGAACUCUGUUCGAGAGAAUACUGUUAUGUAGAAAGAAUGAGACUAGCUAAAUGAUUUAUUAACUGCUAGGGUGUAUUAGCUACAACUCUCCUCAUGUUUGUGAGCCGACGUAACAGGAGGCAGGUACAGGGCUCCCAUAGGACAUACAGUAUAAGGUGAGUCAAAAGGAACACACAACAAUAGUUCACAAAGCGAACAUAACAUAUGACAACAGUUUAUUAUGGAUUCUCAUGACCAUUAAGUUGGCAUACACUAGGCAGUGUAAUGUGAAUUGACUCUCUCUACUCUCGCACGCAAAUUUUGACGCCAUUGACGACGUCUGUCUGUGUGGUUUCGGCUUAACAUGUUUUCAUUCAGGGGGUUGAAUACUUAUAUAAUCAAGAUAUAUUAGUGUUUUAUUUUUCAUGAAUUUCAAAAAAUGUUUUAGAAUAUUUCUUUCACUUUUACAGAGUAUUGUGUGUAGAUCGUUGACAAAAAAUGACAAUUAAAUCCAUUUUAAUCCCACUUUGUAGCACCACAAAAUGUGAAAAAAGUCAAGGGGUGUGAAUACCUUCUGAAGGCCCUGUAUUUAAUGGGCUAAUGUGUAACAUAUUUGUAUGUUUUGAUAGAAGUAGUUGAUUUUGUGUAAUGUAUUUAAUGCUUUGAUGGUCUUAAUGGAAAAUUCCACCCCAAAAUUAUCUUUUGAUAUUUGUUUCAUUUGUCGAUUGUUGACAUAGUCCCAAAAUGUUUUGCUUGUCAGCACUCAAGUUUUCAAGAUAUGUAACUUUCAAAAUACAGAAAUCAUCCCCUGUAUAAUGCCAUUUUGCAUCAUAUGAUGCAAGCUAUUUUCAUGUGCUGUGUGUGAAAGCAGAAAUGUAAGGUUUUUGUUGAAGAUAGCUAUAUCAGUGCCUGAAUAAAACCUUUCUUCUGUAGGCCUACUGUGUGCGGCAUUGUUUCCUCUCAGGUAUCUAGCUAAUUUAUCUUAGCUAGCUAUCUAUCUAGCCAAACGUUAGAUUUUACUUAGCUAGGAGUAUUCCCUCUCUCUGAGUUAAUGUAGCCCUGUCCUGUAGUCAAAUUACCAAAUCACCCUCUAGUGGCCUCAUGGGUGCAAUAUUAUUAAUAUUUUUCAUAAUUUCAUAAUUAAUAAACAUUGGGUUUUCUUAACUGCCAAAAAUCUGGUGUUUCUAUGUCAAAUGGUUCUGUUAAAUUUCAGUCUUAUAUGAUGUAGAUCAAGUAUAGUAUUGGUAUGCAAACUUAAAAUUAAAUACAUUUAAAUUCUACAUCUGACAUGUUGCAGGUCUCUUCUUUUUUAAGCCCAUACCCAUGUGUGUAAGGUGUAUACUUUUGUUCAAAGUAGAUUUGUACCAAGAAUUCUGUGUGUGCCCAUUGCAGUAAAAUGAACAUGGUUGGUAGCUACAGUAGUUGUCAAGCUUAUAAUUCAUGCUUUUAUGGUGGUUCAGUUACUGUAUGGUUUUUAGCCUAAUUAUUUCCAUGAGUUAGCUAGCUAGCUAGUCUGUCUGGAUGCAGGCACAGUUACUUUAACGAUAAGUGGAUAUAGCUAGCUAGCUACAUAUUGAAUUGAAAGUAGUGUCUCAAUUGUUCAGCCAAGUUUAAACUAUCCAAUUAGACUCUCCACUUAAAUGUUGUCAUGUCUUUGUCCCCCAGAUACUAAAGGCGGCAUGGCCCUGAGAGUACUUAUCCCACCACCAGUGUACAGAGUGCAGGCAGCUACAUAUGGAAAUUAAAGUAGUAUCUCACAUGUUUAUCCACGUUUGUCCAUUUUGACUGCCCCCUAAAAUCUUGUUACGUCUGUAUUCCCCAGAUACAGAUACUAAAGACGUGUGUGACAAGUUGGAAAGAAGACUACCUGCCCAAGCAUUGAUGAUUCCCGAAAGUCAUACUGUUGUUACAAAUAUGGCUGAAUAACUCUGCCAGGCGACCAAAAGAACAAGAGACCUGAACCCUUCAUUGUGACUCUCGGGGACAAAUCACCUCUACUCUCUGGCAUUCACCAUCAUGAAUGGACAGGCUCUGGAGCAGAAGACAUUAUGUUUCCUUGUUGUUGUUGUUGUUUGACAUAAAAUCAUGUUGAAAAUGUAUACCUGGUAGGAGCUGUGGGGUGGUGACUUUUCUUCAGCCCCAUUCCUCAACUUUAAUUGGUAGGGCUGCUGAGAUAUUCAAAUGAUGGAUUGUGCUUCUAAAAUGUUGGUUGAUUUGUGUGUUCCUUAUUUGUUUUUUUUAAAUAUUUUGCCUGACUUCAUUUUGUAGUUGAAAUUAAGAGCUGAAAAAUAAACAUUUGUGUGGUAACGUUGUAA